RNAcentral lists this transfer RNA (77 nucleotides) under Bdellovibrionales bacterium RIFOXYD1_FULL_53_11. RNAcentral describes it as "tRNA-Arg". It matches the Rfam family "tRNA". From Rfam's summary of the family: Transfer RNA (tRNA) molecules are approximately 80 nucleotides in length. Their secondary structure includes four short double-helical elements and three loops (D, anti-codon, and T loops). The record is from RNAcentral. Lineage: Bacteria; Pseudomonadati; Bdellovibrionota; Bdellovibrionia; Bdellovibrionales.
GUGCCCGUAGCUCAGUUGGAUAGAGCGUCAGCCUCCGGAGCUGAAGGUCGGUGGUUCGAACCCACUCGGGCGCGCCA